UACGUAGGGUGCGAGCGUUGUCCGGAAUCACUGGGCGUAAAGGGCUCGUAGGUGGCGCGGGCAGUCAACGGUGAAAGUUCGGGGCUCAACCCUGAAUCGGCCGUCGAUACUCCCGGGCUUGAGCACUGUAGAGGCAGAUGGAAUUCCGGGUGUAGCGGUGGAAUGCGUAGAGAUCCGGAAGAACACCGGUGGCGAAGGCGGUCUGCUGGGCAGUAGCUGACACUGAGGCGCGACAGCGUGGGGAGCAAACAGG
Molecule: ribosomal RNA, 253 nt
Filed under: uncultured bacterium
Lineage: Bacteria
Description: partial 16S ribosomal RNA
Rfam family: Bacterial small subunit ribosomal RNA
Source: RNAcentral